RNAcentral lists this long non-coding RNA (404 nucleotides) under Chinchilla lanigera (long-tailed chinchilla). RNAcentral describes it as "lncRNA (ENSCLAG00000024739.1)". Lineage: Eukaryota; Metazoa; Chordata; Mammalia; Rodentia; Chinchillidae. The record is from RNAcentral.
UCAAAGAAACGUUUCCAGAUGCUGCAGUAUGUCUGACAUUACUUUCUUGGAUCAUUUAUCUCAGAGGUUCCCAGAGAGUGAAUCUACUUCCUUUGGACCCCAUCAGCUCUCCCCAUCUGGCUGCUGCUCAGGUUCUUCAGAGGGCACUGUCUUGUAUGGAGUGUCCCCUCCUCCCAGGACUGCUGGUGACCUCAUCCAUGCACCCAGGAGGAGCGUAUACUGUCAUGGAAGUCAGCAGGAUCACAGUAGUCACUGUGGCCAGGUAGGAAUCAGACUAAGAAGUGACAGACAGCAACUGCAUAGAACACUACCUCCCACUGGUGGCUUGCCAAAGUCAUAUGGCAGGUUAACACCAGAGUAGCCGGAAGUGGUCCCUGCCACAGAGUGGAUGAUCUUCACUAUGA